GGUUGAUCCAUGAAGGAAUGCCAUAAAGUUAGAGUUAGUGUGAUUCAUCCACACUAAAUAUUAUUCAGUUGAAUUAUAAAAUGUAAGCUAAGUCCACAAUUAUCACAUGUUGUAGUAGACUAAAACAAACCUAUCCCUAGUUGUUUGUGGCUCAUGCUUCAUAUUGUAAAUAUUUAAAACACAAUUGAGCUUAAUCAGGUAGGCUGUGAUUAUUGCUAAAUUAAUG
Pelobates cultripes (western spadefoot toad) is the source of this 226-nucleotide non-coding RNA. The record is from the annotation of a GenBank genome assembly. NCBI's taxonomy places the organism in Eukaryota, Metazoa, Chordata, Amphibia, Anura, Pelobatidae.